ACAGAUACCUGUUGAACGCAUCCAAGUCCUCUACAAGGGUCAGGUAAUUUAGAUUGAUGUUCAAAUGUUUGUCCCUUCCCAAAACCACUAACUCAGCAAAGUAAACAAGAGCUAGCUUGUAGAUGUCAUCUUCCUCUGUGCACCUCAGAAAUGCUUCUUCUAAGGCAUUACAUGUAAUUCCUUCAUCUAUAAAAUAUCUU
This 200-nucleotide long non-coding RNA is filed under the name Prunus persica (peach). RNAcentral's name for it is "long non-coding RNA (PPER_LNC004942)". The record is from RNAcentral. Lineage: Eukaryota; Viridiplantae; Streptophyta; Magnoliopsida; Rosales; Rosaceae.